UUGGUAUGCCGGCGAGUGGCGAACGGGUGAGUAAUGUAUCGGAACGUACCUUUCAGUGGGGGAUAACGUAGCGAAAGUUACGCUAAUACCGCAUAUUCUCUGAGGAGGAAAGCAGGGGACCUUCGGGCCUUGCGCUGAUGGAGCGGCCGAUAUCAGAUUAGCUAGUUGGUGGGGUAAAGGCUCACCAAGGCUACGAUCUGUAGCGGGUCUGAGAGGAUGAUCCGCCACACUGGGACUGAGACACGGCCCAGACUCCUACGGGAGGCAGCAGUGGGGAAUUUUGGACAAUGGGCGAAAGCCUGAUCCAGCCAUGCCGCGUGAGUGAAGAAGGCCUUCGGGUUGUAAAGCUNUUUUUCAGCC
Molecule: ribosomal RNA, 360 nt
Filed under: beta proteobacterium '13.5 MW-20'
Lineage: Bacteria; Pseudomonadati; Pseudomonadota; Betaproteobacteria
Description: bacterial SSU rRNA
Rfam family: Bacterial small subunit ribosomal RNA
Source: RNAcentral